Molecule: ribosomal RNA, 440 nt
Filed under: uncultured bacterium
Lineage: Bacteria
Description: partial 16S ribosomal RNA
Rfam family: Bacterial small subunit ribosomal RNA
Source: RNAcentral
CCUACGGGAUGUAGCAGUAGGGAAUAUUGCUCAAUGGGGGAAACCCUGAAGCAGCAACGCCGCGUGGAGGAUGAAGGUUUUAGGAUUGUAAACUCCUUUUGUUAGAGAAGAUUAUGACGGUAUCUAACGAAUUAGCACCGGCUAACUCCGUGCCAGCAGCCGCGGUCAUACGGCGGGUGCAAGCGUUACUCGGAAUCACUGGGCUUAAAGAGUGCGUAGGCGGGUUAAUAAGUCAGAUGUGAAAUCCUGUAGCUUAACUACAGAACUGCAUUUGAAACUGUUACUCUGGAGUGUUGGAGAGGUAGGUGGAAUUCUUGGUGUAGGGGUAAAAUGCGUAGAGAUCAAGAGGAAUACUGAUUGCGAAGGCGACCUGCUGGAACAUUACUGACGCUGAUGCACGAAAGCGUGGGGAGCAAACAGGAUUAGAUACCCCAGUAGUC